RNAcentral lists this unclassified non-coding RNA (222 nucleotides) under uncultured Cryphonectriaceae. Its description in RNAcentral is "sequence contains ITS1". The record is from RNAcentral. Lineage: Eukaryota; Fungi; Ascomycota; Sordariomycetes; Diaporthales.
CUGGAACUGUGUCCUCACGGGCACAACCCCAGAUACCCUUUGUGAACUUAUACCCAUUUAUCGUUGCCUCGGCGCCGAGCCGGGAGUCAGCUACUCCUCUGGAGCAGCUGCGCUCCCCCAAUACCGCGCAAGCGGUCUUGGAGCAGGCCCGCCGGCGGCCCAACCAAACUCUUUGUUUUUAGAACGUAUCUCUUCUGAGUUUUUAAACAAACAAAUGAAUCA